UUAAGUUGGUGUAGCCGAAGGACCAAGAAGGAUUGAGACCAAGGUUCUAAAGGCACAUAUGAGGCUUGAGUGUGCAGACUAAGGCCUAGGCUAAUGUUCGAGAGCAUGGCAAGGUAAGCAACCUAGUGUCAAGAAUGGGGACGGCUCAUUAGAAAGAUGGCUCUAGAUUAGCCAAGAGAUAGGCUAGGUGCAUUGGCAUAAAAGAGUUUGGAGAACCUUGGAGGCUAGCCUAGUGUGCAAGCACUAAAGGUUCUAGAAUGGCCUAAAGUAAGAACAAUAGUAGGUAUUGUAGUGCCCAAAUGAGGAAGGCUCAAGAAGGUUCUAGUUAUGGGCAGAGUAGUGACUAGGUGGGAAAGGUUCUGGAACUCAUUAGGUAUGGGCACUUAACGGGAAUGCCUAGACUCUUCUAGACUUGACGCUCAGUAGGAAGCUUAGAACAAGCUGGAUUUUACAAAGGCCUUAGCCAAACUAGGAUGUGUUUAGGGGUUAUGAAAAGGUUUAAAAGGAUUACAAGAGCCACACACUUAGAUCAAUAAAGGCUAUAUGUGUUGGGAAGGCUUAAGUAUAAAUAGAGGCCUUACCCCUCAUUUGUAAUUCAUAAGAGAAGCAAUAAGAGAAAAGUAAGAGGAACCAAGUCAUAGACUUUGUCAUAUUAGAGACUUGGUGGCAGACAUAAGAGUCAAUGUAAAAGCAUUUGUACAUAGCAUCAAGUAAAUAGAAAUACAAUUGCUUUAACUCUCUUUUCUAGCUUUUUUCCAUGCUCCUAAAGAGCCAAUGGAGUCCAUAGCAUAAGCGUUUAGCAUAGAGUUAGAAAAGAGGCUAUCUUACGCAUAUGCAUAGUAGUUUCUAACCUAAGGCCAUAUGGGUGCUAGGCUCCCCAACCUAUGAUACCUAUUGCUGAUGCUACCCCAGACCUUUGACCUUUGACCAAGUCCUUGAAUCAAGCAAUGGCUCCUUAAGGUGGUACAAGUAGAAGCUACGAUCAUAGGCUUGGUCUAGCCAAGUCUUUUAGGUAUUUGGUAGUCUUAUGGCUUUUUUUCAUUGACCACAAAAAUGCUUUUGUCUAGCCAAGCUCAUGCAUGUGUCAUGGCCCAGGGCUUAAGCCUAAGAGUGGAAAGGUCCUAUGUGAAUAGCACUUGCACAUGGGUUAGUCGAUCCUAAGAGAUAAGGGAAUCCCAUCUAAUAGUACGUCCAGCAUGAGCGUCGAAAGGGAAUCAAGUUAAAAUUCCUAAACUAGGACAUAACAGUUAAUGGCAAUGUUAGGUAGUCUAAAGACAUCAGUAGGGGCCUUGGGAAGAGUUAUCUUUUUUGUUUGACAACCUGCUCACCCUAAAAAUGGCUUUGUCAGAGGUAGGGUCCAAUGGCUAGAAAAAACAUCGCAUGUUGCAUAGUGUUCAGUGCACCCCUAACAGGCUUUGAAAAUAUGGAGGACUAAGUGCUAUCUGCACUCGAUGGUACUUAUAACCACAUCAGGUCUCUAAAGUGAAUAGCUUUUUAUCAAUGGAAUAGUGUUGGCAAAAGAAGUUAGCAAAAUGGAUCGGUAACCUCGACAAAAAGAUUAGCUCUAAGGGCUAGGCAUAGAGGUCCCAGUCCUAAACCCAUUUGGUGUUGGUGCACUCUUGAACCGCUCCCAUAGUGAGAGUGGGUCACUGCAUGCUAGCGAGGGGAUGGUUGGGAAUGGCACGUUCAGAGGCCUUUUUUAAGUGAUAAAUAGUUUACUUAAAAUUGGUACAGACAAGGGGAAUUUGACUGUUUAAUUAAAACAAAGCAUUAUGAUGGUCCCUAUGGAUGUUCACGCAAUGUGAUUUCUACCCAGUGCUCUAAAUGUCAAAGUGAAGAAAUUCAACCAUGCACAGGUAAAUGGCAGGAGUAACUAUGACUCUCUGAAGGUAGCCUAAUGCCUCAUCAACUAAUUAGUGAUACACAUGAAUGGAUUAAUGAGAUUCCCACUAUCCCUGUCCAUUAUCUAAGGAAACCAUAGCCAAAAGAAUGGGCUUGGUAGAAUCAACAGGGAAAGAAGACCUUGUUGAGCUUGACUCUAGUCCAACUUUGUGAAAUGACUUGAGAGGUGUAGGACAAGUGGGAGCCCUCAAGAAAAAUUGAAAUACCACUACUUUUAAUGUUAUUUUACCUAUUGGAUGAAUCAGAGGCAAGGCAUGACCCCUUCUUUUAGACCUAAGGCUAGCCUUGCUCGAUUGCUCUGGGUAGAAGACAAUGUCAGGUGGGUAGAUUGGCUGGGGCAACACAUCUAUUAAAAAAUAAUACAAGUCUCCUAAAAUGAACUUAACAAGAAUAGAAAUCUAAUGUGGAACAAAAGGGUAAAAGCUUGUUUGAUUCUGAUUUCUAGUAUGAAUAUGAACUAUGAAAACAUAGCCUAUCAAUCAUUUGAAAUUUGAAGCUAGAGAUGUCAGAAAAGUUAACACAAGGAUAACUAGCUUGUGGUAGCCAAGUGUUCAUAGCGACAUUGCUUUUUGAUCCUUCGAUGUCUACUCUUCCUAUCAUUGUGAAGCAUUUUUCACCAAAUGUCAGCAAUAGGGAACGUAAGUCAGGUUUAUACUGUCAUGAGACAGGUUAGUUUUACCUUACUAAUGGUAGUGUCACAAUAGUAAUUCAACCUAGUAUGAGAGGAACCAUUGAUUCACAUAAUUGGUCAUCGCACUCGGUUGAAAAGCUAGUGGCAUGAAGCUACCAAGCUUUGGAUUAUGACUAAAUGCCUCUAAGUAAGAAUCUAGGCUAGAAGCAAUGCACAUGCCCACCACUCAAUUGCCAACCUAUAGUAGGGGCCUGUGGACCAUAAGAGCAAAUGUCGUAGGUGCAGCCCUCAUGGUAGACAAGCCAUGUAGGCCUCCUGGAGCUCAAGUCCCAUUGAGCAAUGGGUGGAAUCCUUUGCAAAUGACUUAAAUAUGUAAUAGGGUAUUGUAAGGGGUAGAGUGGCCUUGCUACCCCACUAAGAUUCAAA
RNAcentral lists this ribosomal RNA (2959 nucleotides) under Durio zibethinus. RNAcentral describes it as "eukaryotic LSU rRNA". The stretch from base 633 to 2959 matches the Rfam family "Eukaryotic large subunit ribosomal RNA". Lineage: Eukaryota; Viridiplantae; Streptophyta; Magnoliopsida; Malvales; Malvaceae. The record is from RNAcentral.